GCCUUGGAUGGAAAGUGGGGAAUUGGGUGGGGGGCUGCGGACCCCUUAACGUGGAUUACUUGGUGUGUAUCAGCUGGGCUCAGAAGACCCACGACCUCUUCUCCAUCCGUGGAUUGAUUUGUUCUGCUUAACAGCUGGGUCGCCAAGCUGGAGGUGGAAUCAGAGGUUUCUGGCUGACUCGGUGGGUGCUUUGAACCAGGAAAGGACAAGAAAGAGGAACUCUGAAAGCCACAUGUUGAGAUGGCCCCAUUACAGGAUGGAGAGCACCUGAACCCCCAAGUUAUGGACUAGAAGAAGACAGUUGCCCUGGAAAAUCAUCUGACCCACAUUGGACUUUAUGUGAGGGGGAAAUAAACCUUUAUUAUGUUAAGCUACACAA
This 379-nucleotide long non-coding RNA is filed under the name Homo sapiens (human). RNAcentral describes it as "non-protein coding lnc-SLC39A11-1:11". The record is from RNAcentral. Lineage: Eukaryota; Metazoa; Chordata; Mammalia; Primates; Hominidae.